This 383-nucleotide long non-coding RNA is filed under the name Salmo salar (Atlantic salmon). RNAcentral describes it as "lncRNA (ENSSSAG00000099142.1)". Lineage: Eukaryota; Metazoa; Chordata; Actinopteri; Salmoniformes; Salmonidae. The record is from RNAcentral.
GCUGUGUGUGUGGGCAUGUGGGGUGUGUGGUAAAAGGCUGUGUGUGUGGGCAUGUGGGGUGUGUGGUAGAAGGCUAUGUGGGGUGUGUGGUAGAAGGCUAUGUGUGUGGGGGGUGUGUGGUAGAAGGCUGUGUGUGUGGGGGGCUGUGUGUGGGGGUGUGGUAGAAGGUGGGGUGUGUGGUAGAAGGCUGUGUGUGGCAGAAGGCUGUGUGUGUGGGGGGUGUGGUAAAAGGCUGUGUGUGUGGGCAUGUGGGGUGUGUGGUAGAAGGCUAUGUGGGGUGUGUGGUAGAAGGCUAUGUGUGUGGGGGUGUGUGGUAAAAGGCUGUGUGUGUGGGCAUGUGGGGUGUGUGGUAGAAGGCUAUGUGUGUGUGGGGUGUGUGGUAG